Molecule: ribosomal RNA, 1434 nt
Filed under: uncultured organism
Description: 16S ribosomal RNA
Rfam family: Bacterial small subunit ribosomal RNA
Source: RNAcentral
GCUGUCGGCGUGCUUAACACAUGCAAGUCGAACGGAAAGGCCCUGCUUUUGUGGGGUGCUCGAGUGGCGAACGGGUGAGUAACACGUGAGUAACCUGCCCUUGACUUUGGGAUAACUUCAGGAAACUGGGGCUAAUACCGGAUAGGAGCUCCUGCUGCAUGGUGGGGGUUGGAAAGUUUCGGCGGUUGGGGAUGGACUCGCGGCUUAUCAGCUUGUUGGUGGGGUAGUGGCUUACCAAGGCUUUGACGGGUAGCCGGCCUGAGAGGGUGACCGGCCACAUUGGGACUGAGAUACGGCCCAGACUCCUACGGGAGGCAGCAGUGGGGAAUAUUGCACAAUGGGCGGAGGCCUGAUGCAGCAACGUCGCGUGCGGGAUGACGGCCUUCGGGUUGUAAACCGCUUUCGCCUGUGACGAAGCGUGAGUGACGGUAAUGGGUAAAGAAGCACCGGCUAACUACGUGCCAGCAGCCGCGGUGAUACGUAGGGUGCGAGCGUUGUCCGGAUUUAUUGGGCGUAAAGGGCUCGUAGGUGGUUGAUCGCGUCGGAAGUGUAAUCUUGGGGCUUAACCCUGAGCGUGCUUUCGAUACGGGUUGACUUGAGGAAGGUAGGGGAGAAUGGAAUUCCUGGUGGAGCGGUGGAAUGCGCAGAUAUCAGGAGGAACACCAGUGGCGAAGGCGGUUCUCUGGGCCUUUCCUGACGCUGAGGAGCGAAAGCGUGGGGAGCGAACAGGCUUAGAUACCCUGGUAGUCCACGCUGUAAACGGUGGGUACUAGGUGUGGGGUCCAUUCCACGGGUUCCGUGCCGUAGCUAACGCUUUAAGUACCCCGCCUGGGGAGUACGGCCGCAAGGCUAAAACUCAAAGGAAUUGACGGGGCCCCGCACAAGCGGCGGAGCAUGCGGAUUAAUUCGAUGCAACGCGUAGAACCUUACCUGGGUUUGACAUGGAUCGGGAGUGCUCAGAGAUGGGUGUGCCUCUUUUGGGGUCGGUUCACAGGUGGUGCAUGGCUGUCGUCAGCUCGUGUCGUGAGAUGUUGGGUUAAGUCCCGCAACGAGCGCAACCCUUGUUCACUGUUGCCAGCACGUUAUGGUGGGGACUCAGUGGAGACCGCCGGGGUCAACUCGGAGGAAGGUGGGGAUGACGUCAAGUCAUCAUGCCCCUUAUGUCCAGGGCUUCACGCAUGCUACAAUGGCUGGUACAGAGAGUGGCGAGCCUGUGAGGGUGAGCGAAUCUCGGAAAGCCGGUCUCAGUUCGGAUUGGGGUCUGCAACUCGACCUCAUGAAGUCGGAGUCGCUAGUAAUCGCAGAUCAGCAACGCUGCGGUGAAUACGUUCCCGGGGCUUGUACACACCGCCCGUCAGGUCAUGAAAGUUGGUAACACCCGAAGCCGGUGGCCUAACCGUUGUGGGGGAGCCGUCGAAGGUGGGACUGGUGAUU